GCGGUCCUCUUCCGUCCUCAACCCCACGCCUCCGCUGAGGACGUAUCCUUGAGCGCUACAAGCAAAAUGUCAAGCGAAGAGAUGCUAAUUGCUAGGGGAGGUAAACACUGCGCGCAGUCGGGGAGGAAGUCAAGCGUGAAGAUCAAUCUCCCACAUCACCUUCAUCAAAUAACUUUGACUGAGUGAGGCGCCCUAAUUAGCCGGGUACUCGCUGACUGCCUCCCUCGCCUGCCGGGGUCUCUGAAAUUGCCGGAUAGAAGCCAGCAGUUCCCCCGCAUACCACUGCGGGGCAGUGUUGUAUCAGCAGACGGUAGAAUGCAGUCAGGAACCGGCGAGAAGUCGAACGGAGCGUCGGGAUAUGCAUUCGAGUUGAUUAAAAGUUGUCUAAAAAUGCACAUAUGGACUGCAUAUCCCCGACAAGUUUAUCAGACAUGACGAAACUGCCUGUUUGCUGUGGCCUUGAUGCACAGGUAUUUAUAAAAGUUAUGACUGGCUAUAAUGAUACCAAACCUCC
This is a long non-coding RNA of Anguilla anguilla (European eel), 514 nucleotides long. RefSeq lists it as uncharacterized. Lineage: Eukaryota; Metazoa; Chordata; Actinopteri; Anguilliformes; Anguillidae. The record is from RefSeq and is a predicted model, not a curated record. The transcript has 4 exons.